This 169-nucleotide ribosomal RNA is filed under the name Klebsiella pneumoniae. Its description in RNAcentral is "partial 23S ribosomal RNA". It matches the Rfam family "Bacterial large subunit ribosomal RNA", at positions 2774 to 2925 of the family's 2925-position model. Lineage: Bacteria; Pseudomonadati; Pseudomonadota; Gammaproteobacteria; Enterobacterales; Enterobacteriaceae. The record is from RNAcentral.
AAAGCAUCUAAGCACGAAACUUGCCCCGAGAUGAGUUCUCCCUGAGACUAUAAGUCUCCUGAAGGAACGUUAAAGACGAUGACGUUGAUAGGCCGGGGGUGUAAGCGCAGCGAUGCGUUGAGCUAACCGGUACUAAUGAACCGUGAGGCUUAACCUUACAACGCCGAAG